GCCAGGUGUGGUGGCUCACACCUGUAAUCCCAGCACUUUGGGAGGCUGAGGCAGGCGGAUCACCUGAGGUCAGGAGUUUGAGACCAGCCUGACCAACACGGUGAAACCCUGUCUCUA
Molecule: unclassified non-coding RNA, 117 nt
Organism: Pongo abelii (Sumatran orangutan)
Lineage: Eukaryota; Metazoa; Chordata; Mammalia; Primates; Hominidae
Rfam family: Metazoan signal recognition particle RNA
About the family: The signal recognition particle (SRP) is a universally conserved ribonucleoprotein. It is involved in the co-translational targeting of proteins to membranes. The eukaryotic SRP consists of a 300-nucleotide 7S RNA and six proteins: SRPs 72, 68, 54, 19, 14, and 9.
Source: Ensembl